GCAGUUAUAAAGGUCGGUGCUGCAACGGAGACAGAACUCGAAGACCGCAAGCUCAGAAUUGAGGAUGCCAAGAAUGCCACUUUUGCUGCUAUAGAGGAAGGCAUAGUUCCUGGUGGAGGUGCUGCGCUGGUUCACCUCUCUACCACUGUACCUGCCAUCAAAGACAAGAUUGAAGAUGCAGAUGAGCGCAUUGGAGCUGACAUUGUGCAAAAAGUAAGUCAUGGUAUUAUUACAUUCAAGCUUCUCCUACAGAUUCAUCAAAUUCCAAUCAUCAUCUGUGGACCAGACUUCAAGUAUUUUCUUUCAUAAUUUAGACUAAUUUGCGAUUGUACAGGCACUGGUGGCACCUGCGGCUUUGAUUGCAGACAAUGCAGGUGUAGAAGGGGAAGUUGUGGUAGAGAAAAUUAAGGACAGCGAAUGGGAGAUUGGUUACAAUGCCAUGACCGACAAGUACGAAAAUCUAGUGGAAGCUG
Molecule: long non-coding RNA, 473 nt
Filed under: Musa acuminata (dwarf banana)
Lineage: Eukaryota; Viridiplantae; Streptophyta; Magnoliopsida; Zingiberales; Musaceae
Description: long non-coding RNA (MACU_LNC006766)
Source: RNAcentral